UGGGGAAUAUUGGACAAUGGGGGCAACCUUGCUCCAGCCAUGCCGCGUGAGUGAUGAAGGCCCUAGGGUUGUAAAGCUCUUUUGUGCGGGAAGAUAAUGACGGUACCGCAAGAAUAAGCCCCGGCUAACUUCGUGCCAGCAGCCGCGGUAAUACGAAGGGGGCUAGCGUUGCUCGGAAUCACUGGGCGUAAAGGGUGCGUAGGCGGGUCUUUAAGUCAGGGGUGAAAUCCUGGAGCUCAACUCCAGAACUGCCUUUGAUACUGAAGAUCUUGAGUAGGGGAGAGGUGAGUGGAACUGCGAGGGUAGAUGUGAAAUUCGUAGGUAUUCGCAAGAACACCAGUGGCGAAGGCGGCUCACUGGCCCAUAACUGACGCUGAGGCAAGAAAGCGUGGGGAGCAAACAGG
This 404-nucleotide ribosomal RNA is filed under the name Actinomycetes bacterium. Its description in RNAcentral is "Actinobacteria bacterium partial 16S ribosomal RNA". It matches the Rfam family "Bacterial small subunit ribosomal RNA", at positions 355 to 776 of the family's 1533-position model. Lineage: Bacteria; Bacillati; Actinomycetota; Actinomycetes. The record is from RNAcentral.